AGAGGCAUUUGUGCCAUACAAAGGUGUUAUCAUGCAAAGACGUGUCAUUACUAUAAUUUGCUGCAACAAGGAACAACGUGAACUACUUGACAAGCCUGGGUAUUGCAAUGGGUCCCUCUGUUCUCCAAUGUACGUCACUUCCGGUGAAAA
Dendronephthya gigantea is the source of this 150-nucleotide long non-coding RNA. RefSeq lists it as uncharacterized. NCBI's taxonomy places the organism in Eukaryota, Metazoa, Cnidaria, Anthozoa, Malacalcyonacea, Nephtheidae. The record is from RefSeq and is a predicted model, not a curated record. The transcript is spliced from 3 exons.